Alosa sapidissima (American shad) is the source of this 1211-nucleotide RNA transcript. It is a transcript of the gene named coiled-coil domain-containing protein 9-like, with no coding region annotated. Lineage: Eukaryota; Metazoa; Chordata; Actinopteri; Clupeiformes; Clupeidae. The transcript has 11 exons. The record is from RefSeq and is a predicted model, not a curated record.
UGUCGGCAAAAAUUCAAAUAUACACAGACGCACAGAUUGCAGCUUCAAAUUCCCCACAAGGCGCAGAGGCUAUAGUCUACACCGCCUAAAAUAGCCUAAGUUAGGUAUGGGGAAAACUGCUCCUAGCUUUACAGGCUUUACCUUUACCAACUGUUUUGAGAUAAAUUAGACAUAGUUAGUAGGCUACAGAACACAUUCAGUCACAAUAUCAGCUUGUAGCCCUGUUGGAUUUGUUACAAUUUCAACUCUAGAUCAUUGGCCAUGGCAUCACUUCGACGAAAGCAGAUUCGUUCACAUGCAGAUGAUGAAGAGUUUCUCUCAACAGUCCAAAGCUUGCAUUUUGAAAUUUGCAAACUGCAGAUGGAAAACAGGGAACUUGGUGAAAGAAGCACACAGCUGGAUCAGCAGCCGUUAAGAAAGGCAAGAAGACCUGCGGACAGCCCCCAUGAGAAUAUCAGUCGUCCCAUGUUUCAGUCUCCACAGUUUCGAACACAGACGAACCUGUUCCUGGCUUCAAUAGGUGUAGAAGAAUCUUCACAGCGUUUGCGGGACGCCCUGAGUCGCCUGCGCUGGAAACUGGUGCGCGAUGAUUCCGAUGAGUCUUCGUCAGAAGAGGAAGAUGAGGAAGAGGCGGAAGAGGAGGAGACGGUGGCAGUGGCGGUGGCGGAGGUGACCAGUCAGGAGACGGAAGUGGUAGGGGACCUACAGGAGGCGCCCAAAGAUGCCGAAGCACAGCCGGGAUCUGAUCACGAGGCAGCAGCAGAGAAAAGUCAAAGGAAGAUCAACGGUUGCUUCGCUGCUUUGUGGGGAUGUACCAGGGAAUAGAUAGGGGUCUGGAGGCCCCACAGCAGCACAUGACAGUGCAUGCAUUUCCACAGGACAUCACACCUUGAUGGGGGGGAGGGACACGUCACAACAGACUGGGUGGACAUAAAGACAGUUGGGAGGAGGAUUAGGGCAGAAAAACUGCAGACUAAGGGAGCAGUGAGCUGUCUAAGAGCUGAUCUUUUGCUGGGAAAGGAAACAGAAGAGGGCACACAUGUAGACUUCAAAGAACAACACAACCAUAACUCACUCCAUGCCAUAUUCACAUGGUACAGAUUGAGGGCUUGACAUGUGUAGUGCAUCAUGUUGCCAUGAUGCACCAUGACCAGAUUUCUGUCCCUAAUAAUAUAAAUACAUUUUAUCAUAAUAAACCACCUGAUAAAUCA